RNAcentral lists this ribosomal RNA (270 nucleotides) under unidentified soil organism R6-44. Its description in RNAcentral is "partial 16S ribosomal RNA". It matches the Rfam family "Bacterial small subunit ribosomal RNA", at positions 1222 to 1501 of the family's 1533-position model. The record is from RNAcentral.
GUGCUACAAUGNCCGGUACAGAGANCANCCNCUGGGCGACCAGGAGCGAAUCUAUNAANCCGGUNACAGUUNGGAUCGGAGUCUNCAACUCGACUCCGUGAAGCUGGAAUCGCUAGUAAUCGGAUAUCAGCAUGAUCCGGUGAAUACGUUCCCGGGCCUUGUACACACCGCCCGUCAAGCCAUGGAAGCUGGGGGUGCCUGAAGUCAGUGACCGCAAGGANCUGCCUAGGGUAAAACUGGUAACUAGGGCUAAGUCGUAACAAGGUAACC